RNAcentral lists this ribosomal RNA (1224 nucleotides) under Bacillus australimaris. RNAcentral describes it as "bacterial SSU rRNA". It matches the Rfam family "Bacterial small subunit ribosomal RNA", at positions 49 to 1257 of the family's 1533-position model. Lineage: Bacteria; Bacillati; Bacillota; Bacilli; Caryophanales; Bacillaceae. The record is from RNAcentral.
UAAUACAUGCAAGUCGAGCGGACAGAAGGGAGCUUGCUCCCGGAUGUUAGCGGCGGACGGGUGAGUAACACGUGGGUAACCUGCCUGUAAGACUGGGAUAACUCCGGGAAACCGGAGCUAAUACCGGAUAGUUCCUUGAACCGCAUGGUUCAAGGAUGAAAGACGGUUUCGGCUGUCACUUACAGAUGGACCCGCGGCGCAUUAGCUAGUUGGUGGGGUAAUGGCUCACCAAGGCGACGAUGCGUAGCCGACCUGAGAGGGUGAUCGGCCACACUGGGACUGAGACACGGCCCAGACUCCUACGGGAGGCAGCAGUAGGGAAUCUUCCGCAAUGGACGAAAGUCUGACGGAGCAACGCCGCGUGAGUGAUGAAGGUUUUCGGAUCGUAAAGCUCUGUUGUUAGGGAAGAACAAGUGCGAGAGUAACUGCUCGCACCUUGACGGUACCUAACCAGAAAGCCACGGCUAACUACGUGCCAGCAGCCGCGGUAAUACGUAGGUGGCAAGCGUUGUCCGGAAUUAUUGGGCGUAAAGGGCUCGCAGGCGGUUUCUUAAGUCUGAUGUGAAAGCCCCCGGCUCAACCGGGGAGGGUCAUUGGAAACUGGGAAACUUGAGUGCAGAAGAGGAGAGUGGAAUUCCACGUGUAGCGGUGAAAUGCGUAGAGAUGUGGAGGAACACCAGUGGCGAAGGCGACUCUCUGGUCUGUAACUGACGCUGAGGAGCGAAAGCGUGGGGAGCGAACAGGAUUAGAUACCCUGGUAGUCCACGCCGUAAACGAUGAGUGCUAAGUGUUAGGGGGUUUCCGCCCCUUAGUGCUGCAGCUAACGCAUUAAGCACUCCGCCUGGGGAGUACGGUCGCAAGACUGAAACUCAAAGGAAUUGACGGGGGCCCGCACAAGCGGUGGAGCAUGUGGUUUAAUUCGAAGCAACGCGAAGAACCUUACCAGGUCUUGACAUCCUCUGACAACCCUAGAGAUAGGGCUUUCCCUUCGGGGACAGAGUGACAGGUGGUGCAUGGUUGUCGUCAGCUCGUGUCGUGAGAUGUUGGGUUAAGUCCCGCAACGAGCGCAACCCUUGAUCUUAGUUGCCAGCAUUCAGUUGGGCACUCUAAGGUGACUGCCGGUGACAAACCGGAGGAAGGUGGGGAUGACGUCAAAUCAUCAUGCCCCUUAUGACCUGGGCUACACACGUGCUACAAUGGACAGAACAAAGGGCUGCAAGACCG